UACGGAGGGUGCAAGCGUUAUCCGGAUUCACUGGGUUUAAAGGGUGCGUAGGUGGGCAAGUAAGUCAGUGGUGAAAUCUCCGGGCUUAACCCGGAAACUGCCAUUGAUACUAUUUGUCUUGAAUACUGUGGAGGUCAGCGGAAUAUGUCAUGUAGCGGUGAAAUGCUUAGACAUGACAUAGAACACCAAUUGCGAAGGCAGCUGGCUACACAAAUAUUGACACUGAGGCACGAAAGCGUGGGGAUCAAACAGGA
This 254-nucleotide ribosomal RNA is filed under the name uncultured bacterium. Its description in RNAcentral is "partial 16S ribosomal RNA". It matches the Rfam family "Bacterial small subunit ribosomal RNA", at positions 524 to 777 of the family's 1533-position model. The record is from RNAcentral.